RNAcentral lists this long non-coding RNA (10994 nucleotides) under Homo sapiens (human). Its description in RNAcentral is "non-protein coding lnc-CLIC4-2:6". The record is from RNAcentral. Lineage: Eukaryota; Metazoa; Chordata; Mammalia; Primates; Hominidae.
AGACACUCUCAGGCUCCCUAGGAAGAGGAGGAUGGAGACUGGAGAGAUGGAGGGAUGGAAGGAUGGAGGCUGGAGAGAUGGAGACUGGAGGGAUGGAGGAUGAAGGGAUGGAGGCUGGAGGGAUGGAGGGAUGGAGGCUGGAGGAAUGGAGGCUGGAGAGAUGGAAGGAUGGAGGCUGGAGGGAUGGAGACUAGAGGGAUGGAGGCUGAAAAGAUGGAGGGAUGGGAGGGAUGGACGCUGUAAGGAUAGGGGCUGGAGGGUGGAGGCUGGAGGGAUAGAAGGAUGGCGGGAUGGGAGGAAUGGAGGCUGGAGGGAUGAAAGGAUGGAGGCUGGAAGGAUAGAGGCUGGAGAGAUGGAAAGAUGGAGGCUGGAGCAAUACAAGGAUGGAGGCUGGAGGGAUGGAGGCUGGAGGGAUAAAGGAGGAAAACAAAGAGCGGGAGGGGUCUGGGCACUAGGCUAGGGCCUCAGCUGCUGGGCCUGUACCAUGGCAGGGAAUCCAUGAAUCCUGGAGGCAUUUUUGGCUGGUUCCAAAGUCAGACAAAGUGUGAACCUCUCUCUGCUACAACCUUGGCCAGAAAGUCUGGUGCAGAGACGAUGAGACACUGGGGACCCCCACUUGUUCACAUUUGUUCCGUUGCUCACUUGUUCAAAAAACACGCGUGAAGCCCCUGCUUGGAGCCAGGCACUGGGCUGGGUUCAGGGUUUCCAGAUGAAUCAGGCCUGCUCCCCGGGGGACUCCCAGUCGUUCAGAAGAGAGACAGACAUUGAAACAAAUAAUUAAAGACACGAAUGAAAGCCUCUGAGAUAAAAAUACACAAGAUCGGUGAACACAGAGAGAGUCACUGAGACAAGCUUAGGGUUGACCCUAAGCUUGAACCAGAGGGAAAACUCAGACCUCCACCGAGUAGGAUGGGCAGUGGGAGGCUGGGGUGCAAUGAUCCUGAAGGAUGCUGAGGGACCCACCACUGCUCCCGUGACCUCCACCUGACGUUCCUCAGGGAAGUGACACCCCCUCCAAAAUAUGCAACGAGAGAGGCCCUGGGGAGACGCAGGCUUGGGUUUCAGAUGUGGGCGAUUCUCACACGGGCUGCAGAUUCUAGGCCUUGGUCUGCAGCCCGCUCACUCCACGCCGCUGAGACUCAGUUUUCUCAUCUGCCAAGUGAGAGUUCUGGAUUUGGAGAUGAUUAUUACAGCUAAUAUUUGCUGAACAUUUACUGUGUGCCAGGCAUCGCGCCAGACACUUUGCAUCGGUACCUCGUUCAGCCUUCACAUCCGCCCAGUGAGAUGGAAAAACUGAGCCCAGAGUGGGGCCAGGACAUACCCAACAUCAUAGCGCAGAUGAAGACACAGCCAGGACCAGAACUCAAAUCUCCUACACCAGUGGGCUUCCCCCCUGAGCCUGAACAUGGAGUCACCACUGGCUCAGUGAUUACUGAGUGGAAAGGGAUUCGAGACGGCAGAGCACUGUGCAGAGAUAGCUGGGCAUGAGGGGAGAGAAUGCAAGCCUCAGCUGGGAAUCGGGACUCUUGGAUUCUCAUCUUCUCAGAUUGACUUAAUUCACCACUUCAGAGAGGUCUGUGCGUUCACUUGUUCAUUGAUUCAUUUAUUCAACAAAUGUCUUCUUAGGUAACCUCUCUGGACCUCAGUCUCCUGAUCUGUAAAUGGGCAGAAUGCCUUUCCCAGGAUGGUUGUGGAAACAAAUGAGAAAACAAAUGGGCAACUUCUGGUGACUGCGCACAGGUGCAUGCGUGGUUGCAGCAGAUGGCAGUGCCGCCCGCGUGCCUUGGUUAUUCCUGUGGCUCAUGCCCAUGGGAAAGCUUCCAACCACAGCACCUGCAACUCCCCCUGCCCCACAACAAUGUUCUCUGGUCAGUGGUUGGGGGCAAGCCAGAGUCCUGGGAGUUAGCACACACCUAGGAGUGACCCUCAAGCAAUGUUGGAACAGAGCCGAGGAAUACACACUCAGCUCCCUCCCCGCUCAGCUGGGGUCACUCAGGUGUGUUCUACGCUGUCUUCCCAGGGUCCCCAGUGGGAUGGAGCCCCGGUUGCCCACAGCUAUAACUUGCUGGCUAAUGCAUAUUCCUCCCUGGUUUCUUCCCCACCCCCUUACAGGUACUCCUUGGGAUCAUAAAUGAACUACCUGCAACUCACAUCCUAGUGUGAGUUGCAGGGUCUGCUUUCAGAUCAGCCCAAACUCAGGACUGUCUGUCUCCAGAGCCAACACUCAACUAUCACGUUAUGCAUCAUCCCACCUCACCCCCAGGGACCUCCCUCAUAAUGGAAGCAGCAGCAAAGACUUCAUAAUGAACAGCACCAGAUUCUAGAGGCACCUGCAUUCCUUGGCUUGUGGCCUCUUCCUCCAUCUCAAAGUGCAUCGCUCCAAUUUCUGCUUCUGUCAUCACAUCGCCUUUUCCUCCAGCUCCGACUCCUCCUGCAUCCAUCUGAAAAGGAUAAUCCAGGAUAUUCUCCCUAUCUCAAGAUCCUUCAUCACAUCUGCAAAGUCUCAGGUAUGGGUGGGGCUGAGGAUAUAAUCAGUUCUGGGCAAAAUUCCUCUGGAUGUGCAGAUUUGUGAAACUAGAAAACAAGCUUUCUGCUCCCAAAAUACAGUGGUGGGACAGCAUAAGACAACAGUUAUAGACAUUUCCAUUCAAAUAGGGAGAAAAUGGAAGGAAAAAAGGAGUCACCAGUCCCAAGCAAUUUCAAAAUCCAAUCAGACAAACUCCAUCAGGUUUCAAGGCCUGGGAAAAAUCCUCUGCCCUCUGUAUGCAAAACAGCAACAACAGCAGCAACUUUGGACCUUACCUCACACCAUCUAUAAAAAUGAACUCAAAUGAAUUAUAGUCCCCUAAAGAAGCAUUAUGCUAAGUGGAAAAGCCAGACACAAAAGCACACAUCAUAUAGGAUUCAGUACAUAUGAAAUUCUAGGAAAUACACAGCUAUCAUGACAGAAGGCAGAUCAGUGACGGCCAGUGGCCAGGUAGCAGGGGUGGAAACUGAUUGACAACAAAGGAGUGUGGGGUGGCUGUUGGGGGUGAUGGAAAUGUUCUCACAACUGUAUAUGUUUUCAAAACUCAUCCAACUAUAUACUAGAAAGGGUGACUCUUAUUAUAUGUAAACUAUACCCUAAUUUUUUUUUUCUGAGACAGAGUCUCGCUCUGUCGCCAAGCUGGAGUACAGUGGUGCGAUCUCACCUCACUGCAACCUCUGCCUCACUGCAACCUCUGCCUCCCGGAUUCAAGCGAUUCUCCUGCCUCAAGCUCCUGAGUAGCUGGGACUACAAGCGCGUACCACCACACCCAGCUAAUUUUUGUAUUUUUAGUAGAGACAGAAUUUCACCAUGUUGGCCAGGAUGGUCUCGAUCUAUUGACCUCGUGAUCUGCUUGCCUUGGCUUCCCCAAGUGCUGGGAUUACAGGCGUGAGCCACUGCGCCCUGCCCCCAAUUUUAAAAUAGUGUCUUGACUAUUCUUGGUAUAAGACAAAUAAAGAAGGGAAGGAAGAAAUGAAGGAAGGAAGAAGGAAGGAAGGAAGGGAGGAAGGAAGGAAGGAAGGAAGGAAGAAGGAAGGAAGGAAGGAAGAAGGAAGAAGGGAGGGGAAGGGAAGGGAUGGGGAGGGAAGGGAUGGGGAGGGAAGGAAGAAAUGAAGGAGGAAAGAGUCAACUUCAACAGGCUAGGGAGUGGGUGGCCUCCAUCAGCCAGGAGGGUCCUGUGACCCAGGCUUUAGGCUGCUGGACACCGCUGGACAGGCCUAUUGGAGUUUGGGUCCCUGGACCUCUGGGGAAGGCAUCUCCUGCCCCACCUUUCUGGGACAGAAAAGCAGUCAGAGCACACCUGGAUUUCCAUGUUAUCCCAGAAAGCAGUCAUGACCCCUUAGCAGGAUCUUCCCUCAUAGUGCUCGGUUUCUUCGUGAGAGCAGAGAUUUUAGUCUGUUCCAAACUAAGGGUAGGGAGCCUAUCCCAGUUCACGCAGCCCAUGCCUUUUGGCCCCAAAGCCCUGCUGCUGGACCAAGGCACCAACUGCCUGAUGUGGAGUCCCUGGGGGCUCAGCUCAGGCCUCCGCCGCAGGGACAGGCCUUGUGGGUACUAAUCCACAUGAGCCUUGAGUGGCUUCUGAUUCUCUCCAGUCAAGGAGCUGCCUCUGCCCCCCUCAAGGAUGGGCCUCUAAUGGGCCCUGGUUUCCCUGUAGAGUAGGCACAAAUAGCUCAGGCUCUGGAGCCAGAUGGCCCGGGUUCAAACCCUGGUUCUGCUGUUUGCCUUGUGGUAUGACCCAGGGCAGGGUAUUCAAUGCAUUCCUGUCUCCCCUCCUGUAAAGUGAGGCGAAUGGUACUACCUACCUCCAAGAACCAGGAGGAUUAGAUGAGCUCAUCUGGGAAAAGGUUAACGGUGGAGUGUGGGCCCAAUAAGUGUUGGCUAUUGUCAUCACUGACCACUGGCAAAGAGCCCCUGGCCUGCUUCCCCUUGGGUUUCCAAAGCCCAGCCCCCUGCCCACGACCACAAGGCUGAGCAGAGACAAACUGCUUUCUUGGAGGGCUGGGCCCGGCCCUGCCACCCAUUUCAGUGUCCCACCAUGCAGGGGUCCCUCAAUCAAUAGCCUGGCUGAUUGUGGCUUUGGGGUCUCAACCACCAGCCACAGGAGUCCAGCUGGUCCAGACCACAGGUCCACCCGGGGCUGGAGCUGGGAAUUGAGGAGGUGACAGCGGGUGGGGUGGGUGUGAGCUGUCACCUGCGUUACUUCUGUGGGUCCACAGGGGCCUGCACUCUGCUGACGCCAGCCCCGGGAGACAAAGGAGGGCCUGGGGUGGGGCCCGGGAGGUGCAGGGUAGUGGGCCAGUGACCAGUCUCAGCUGCACCCACGCCUUGCUGGUGAGCUUUGCCAAACCACUUUUCUCUGAGCCUCAUUUGCUCCUCUGUAAAAUGGAGGGGACGGGGGAAAUCCCCACCGCCUUUGCUUUGGACACGGUCUGGUAUUUCGGGCUGGGCCUGGUGCCUUGGUGCUUUACAUCAACUCGUUAACUCUCACUACAGCCCCUGAGGUGCAUGCUAUGAUUUUCCCCAUUUUAAAGAUGCAGAAACUGAGGCUUACAUGUUCCAAAAAGCUUUAUCUUUGGGGAGAUUAGGCCAGCUGUGAAGCUCGUGUCACAAAUGGGGACGCUGAGACUCAGGGAAGUGACCAGCCUGGCCUAGAGCUGGCCUCCUUCAGGGAGGCCAGGUCCCUGAAGGAGGCCAGGUUCCAGGUUUAGGAAGAAAUGCUUUCCUUCCCAGGCCCACCCCUCCCAGGCCCAUUUGCUCACCUGCAAGUUAAUGUGGGGGCUGUUUUUUUCCACUUUCUAUUUUUCAAGGCUGCUACCAAAGGGGCCACGCAGGACGUCCUCUGGGGAAUGCUGGCUCCCACACCACCCGCCUCGGCUCCUGGGCCAAGGUUUUGCCUUGAUCUGUCCAUCCCACUGCACAUGGCUUCAAGGAGGCAUUCAUGGGAAUCCCUGCUCAGGUCAGGCAGCAUCGUGUCAAGGUCAUGGCCCCUUGAAGAUUCUUUGAGGAAGUGGCUGUUGAGCUCCCAACCCCAGGGCUGGAGCAGGAGGAUCAGACACCCCGGCCUCAGCCCCAGAGCAUGAAAGCCCUCCCCACUCACCCAGCUGCUCUGCAGACCCACACUUGCACACAACUCCAUGUGCCACUGACCAGCUCUGACCUCGUCCUGGGCAAGGCUGGCGGGGCCUAGACCCAAACCCACAACAGUGUGUGGCUCCCAGGGAGGCAGCGUUUCCUGGGCACCAGCUCUUUAGAGAAUGCCUUCAGAAGUCCCCAUCCAGCCUCUCCCCUCAUGAAAUCCUGUCCUUGAAUCAUCCAGCCUAGCCCCCUGAGUAGCUGUGCAUUUCCGAGACCCCGAAUCCAUAAUAUUCAUAUGAAUGAGGUGGAGGGCAGGGAGAAUCGCUGCCAUUUAUUCAACCCUUAAUAAAUGCUGGGGGCUGCACAAAGCACUUUAAAUAAAUACAGCCUCUCAUUUUAAUCCUAAACAGGCCUGUGAGGGAGGUGCCAUGAUUACCCUUGUUUUAUAGAUGAUGAAAGCUAGGGCUCAGAAGAUGAAGUCCUUUACCAAAGGUCACACAGCUAGAAAGCAGAGAGGCCAGGAGUAGCACCCACUUGCUACAAGAGACUGGCCCCUCCAGACACAGUCCUUCCCGACAGCCUCUUUGAGGUUUCCCUGGACCUAGCCCAUCGGGACACUGUCCUCACAGCAAAGUAGCAGCCCCAGGCUGGGCACACGGCAGGAACCCUGUGCUGUGGCCCCCCGACCCAGUCCUGUGAACCCUUCCUUACUCCUCUGGCUCUGCUGGGACCAUGCUCUCCACCCCAGAGCUGGGAUAGCUGGGCCCUCUCCUCGCCCUCUCAUCCCAGCGUCCACCCUCCUGUUCAGAGCUGGACCGUUAGCCCAUGGGCCCCCUAGGAUUCUCUUUGCUUCCAGUUCCCCAGGUGACCAGCAGAUCUGUUAUUCCUCUCAUUUCACUUAUUCAUUUAUUCAGUGGAGUUUAGGGGCAGUCAGGAGGCCCUGGGGACUUGUGAGUGGCUGGUAUCAGCCAAGGGCCAGGUCCAGCCUCUGUGGGUAGACACGAAUGACUUAUUAGGGCUCUGAAAAGGGGCUGUGGAUGUGUCUGCCAUGGUCAGUCCCUGGGGCGAGAGCCAGCGUCCAAGGCCAUGCUUGCCUGCCCUGGUCACCAGAAAGGGCUGGGAGAGGAGGAAGAACUGGGAGCAGGUUAGGACUUCAGAGCUCCCCUAGCUACUCACCAACCUCAGGGACAGGCAGGGGCCAGCCCCUGGAGAAGCCCCCCGUACCUGCUCCCCACCCCACCAUACACACGCAGUCUCCCUACAGUGUCCCCCUCCCUUCCUGGCCCCUGAGUCUCCGAGGCAGCAGGAGGAGCAGCAGAAGAUCCCAGGACGUGAAGUUCAAAGACAGACAGUCACCCCAGCCACCUGUCUCCCAUCACCAUCGCCAUCACCAGGGCCUCUGAGCCCCACACCCCUCCUCACUGCCCAUGUGUCCCCAUUUCUCAGGGUCCCUAUGUUCUGAUGGUGUCACAAGCCCUAGGAGUUAAAAAGUGACAGUUCCCUUCACCUUCUUCUCCUCUCUACAAUCCCCUGCCCCUCCUAGCAGGUGAGCCCCGCUAGCAGGUUGGUGUCUAUUCUACAGACCCUUUUAUGUGCAUUAAAAAAACUCCACAUGGAUAUCACAGAGAUCGACAUAUGUAGGAUUUACUUUACAGAAAUAGCGCCAAGCCAUAUACAUUUUUCUCUGAUGUGCCUUUUUUUAGUAGUGUGGAAAUCUUUCCAUAUUUAUGUAUACACAUCUACCAUAAUUCUUAGCUAUUGCAGAUUUUAUACUGAAAAGAAAACAGAAAGGCUAAGGCUAAAUACCCAUACUCCCAUAGCUUUUUUGUCAAGUACAUGAACGAAGAAGUAAAAGCCUCCAAACAUAGCAUAUGAAUCUUUCGUAUCCUUUUCCCAAGAUUACGGAGGCGGAGCUGUGUGGAUGUGCACUGGUUCAAACAUAGUCAUGCAUUUUCUUACAGAGUGGCAUCAUGCCAGUCGUGCUGCUUUAUUAUUAAUUUUUCUGCUUAGCAGUCUGUCUUGGAGAUUUUUCCAGAUUGGUGCAUUUUCAUGUCACUAGAUUCUGUUUAUCCACUAUGAUUCCAUUGUCCGGAUGAACCACUGUUCCCCUCUUAAUGGACAUUUCAGUUAGUUCCAGGCCUUUGCUGAAAUGAACACCCUUCCUUAUAUAUCUCUGCACUCCUCAUCCCAGGUCUGAAGUCUGAGGAACUGGGGACAAUUGUGUGGUGUCGUGAUGGUGAGCAUGUAAACCACAUGUCUGCCCUGUGAAAGGAAGAUAAAUCUGGGGACCCCAAAAUCACCCUCCACCCCACGCACACUCACAACACAGCCUCCUCCAGGCAGCAGAACUGUUAAGCCUGUCAGAGACUCAGGCAGCUGCCAGGCACUAAAAAUAAACAGAUGAGCUCCUUUGUCUGCAUUUAGCAAGCAGGUUGCAGAAUUACAUCUGCCCAGGGUGACCCCACACCCUGGUUUGGGGGUAAGAAGAGAAGCAGCUUCCAGGCCAUCUUCCCAGCACCCCCUUGCCUUGGCUGUGCCAUCCACCCCACCCUCCACUGCUUUCCUCCUUCCUCCAGCAGAGGGAUUACCUGGGGCAGGAAAGGGGGCAGAGGACCCCUAUAUGGCCCUGGCAGGCCUCAGAGGCCCAUCUGGGAGAAGAGGACUUUGCAGGUUCAUUUCCACAAAAUGGGGAGCUCCCAGCACGACCUCUGGGAUCUGGGCAGCUGCUCAGCUGCUUUUCUGUUCAAUUGCAUCAAACUAAUGUGAACCUGAAAUGCUCUAAAAUUGAAGCAGGAAAAAUUGGAUCUGCUAUUGAUCCUCAUCACUUGGGUGACUCCUGUGACCCAUAUUAGCCACAACCCAGCCAAAAGCAACUGCCCUGAAAACAAAGAGUGUGUGUGGUUAUUUGAUUCUGUUCAGUUGUAGAUGGGAGGAGCCUGGGGUCCCCCAACUCAGCUGCCCUUGUCCCAGAUGAUGCAAAAAAAAAAAAAAAAAGUGAAGAUAAAGACAGAGGAAAGGGUGGGAACCAGGAUGGGGACAAGCAACCCUUCCAUUGCCUGUAGAAAGGUUUUCAGGAAAAAGAUUUGCUGGCAUAGAAAAGGCUGUUGGAGCAGGGCAGCUCUAGGGGCUCCUGGGACCUCCCUUCCCACAGGUGUCAGGGAAGCAACCUCAGGCCACUUCUGCUGCGCCAUGUCUGCAGUCCCACACCCAGCCUACUGUGCGCAGCAUGUGGGGUGCUCUUUAAAGUACAUGAUGUCCUGUGUAAGUUAAAAACUCAUGUUCCAGAAACAGCAUCCUGGAAAGUCAGGACUGAGGCCUUGGAGAGUAAAUAGACCAGCAGCUCCCAAGUCUGGCACACAUGAGAGUCAUCAGCAGCUCUGACAGGUGCAGACUCCCAGGUCACCCCCGAGGGCGUCUGAUUCGGCAUGUGUGGGGUGGCGCCUGGGUAUAUGUAUUGUGAAAACAUGUCCAAGCUCAGGACCCUUAAUUUCCAAGCGAAUUGUGUUCUCUGGAGUCUUGGGAAUGGCAGAGGGACCCGGGGCUCCUGCAUGGUGAGGGGAGCUGAGCACGUGGGACCCCAGGCUCCUCACCUCUUGAACUGGAGCAUCCCACUCUCAUCCAUUCCAUAAACUGCAUCUUUGAUCGAUUGUAAGACACACCACAGUUUUAUGUACCACGCAGAAAGACACCGCCAGGUGCCAUGGAUUAUAAGAUGCAUAUCAGUCUCAUAGGCAGCAAAGGUGAAAUGUGUGUUCUAGAAUCCACAAAAUAGUGUAUGCGGUCCCUUCCUUCAGUGAUGUCCCACAGCUCUUAGAGUAAGCCUCACCUCCUCCACAUGACCCCAAGGCCCUGUGUGUCCAGCCCUUGCCUACCUCUCCAGCCACCUCCCCAAACCAUUCUCGCCUCCUCUGCGCUCCCGCCCUCUGGCUGCCUUCUUUCAGACCCCAGCAUCCUCCUCGUUUCCUCCCCAGACAGGAACUUUGCACAGGCCAUACAUUCUUCCCUUUCCUUCUUAACCUACUCUCUUUGAGAGCACAACUCAACUGCCGCUUCCUUGGGAAGGCCUUCCCUCAUCCUCUUUGCUAGAUCACACCACCACCACCAUUAUUCUGUCUUGUGGCCCCUCCGCAGCGCUGGUCCCAGCCACAAUCUCACCUUGCUGUGUGGGAUUAGGUGAUGAAUGCCAGACUUCCCUGAUUGACGAAACCAAACCAGAGACAGCCAAAGGAGAGGGGAUAAGACCGCCCACCAGUCUGUCCACCAAGCCCGCAGGAGAAACAGGCGCCCAGGCCCCAGCCAAGGAGAGAUGGUCCUGCAAAAAUUCAUCAUCAAGAGUCUGGGGUUUGGAGUCGGGCUGUCUGGGUCUGAGCCACUCCCCAGCAUUGGGCAAAUUCCUUCGAUUUCUCUUAAGACUCAAUUUCUUCCUCUGUAAAAUGGGGAUUGCAAGAGCAGCUUUGCAGGGUGGCUUUGUGAAACACCUAAGGCGUUGAACUUGACUGAGGGCUUCUGCAAUAGCACCCGUGGCCUGGGAAGUGCUUAGCACAUGCUCUGAUGCAGCAUGAGUGCUAUUAUGAUCCCCCUGUGUGGGGAGCCGGAGUCUCGCCCCCAGGGCCUGCUGAGCUGUCAUCGACCUGGCUGCCCGCAUUGAUCUGGCCAGGACCCCCUCGGGAGUCCCAUCUGCAUGGACAGGCCACCCUCUGCCCCUGGGUGGCUGCCCUUUGCCAAGUUCACGGUCUGGAGCAGUCGGCCAGCUGGGCCUCCCACUAAUGAGUGCCUCGUCCUGCCCAGACCAGCUCUCCUUACUCUCCAUCGAUCCUUGACCUUCCUGGGGAAGCUCCCUCCUCCACUUCUGCCUCUACAUGGUUGCUACUGCUGCUCACCCCAGACUCUCGUCGGCUCUGGCAGGACCUCGCUCUGUCCAGGCACCCCUGAGCCUGGGAGCCCCAACCACUCAUCCCCCCGACAUGUGUGCUCAAGGCCAGGGCUGUGGUCUGGGUUCAGAUCUCGACUUGGCGCCUGGUUAAACCAAUGCUAGGACCAAGAGAUUCGAUAGCAAGUUAUGAACUGAACAUUUGUGACCCCCAAAUUCACAUGCCAUCACCCCCACUAUGGCUAUAUUUGGAGAUGGGGCCCCUAAGGGAGUAAUUAAGGUUAAAUGAGGUCCUGAGGGUGGGGCCCUGUGGACCCAAGGCGGGUACUAUUGUCCUCAUAAGAAGAGACACCAGAGAACUCAUUCCCUCUCUCCACGCACACACAAAGCGAGAUGGCAACAGCCCACGGCCAAGAGAAGGGUGAAACCUCUCUGGUAAUAAAGCUUACCUUGCUGGCACCUUGAUCUUGGACCUUCCAACCUCCAGAACUGUGAGAAAUAAAUUUCUGUUAUUUAAGCCAC